Molecule: ribosomal RNA, 428 nt
Filed under: uncultured bacterium
Lineage: Bacteria
Description: bacterial SSU rRNA
Rfam family: Bacterial small subunit ribosomal RNA
Source: RNAcentral
CUCAACCUCGAAACUGCUCGCCGAACUAUCAGACUAGAGCAUGGGAGAGGACAGUGGAAUUCCCAGUGUAGCGGUGGAAUGCGUAAAUAUUGGGAGGAACACCAGUGGCGAAGGCUGCUGUCUGGAACAUUGCUGACGCUGAGGUGCGAAAGCCAGGGGAGCAAACGGGAUUAGAUACCCCGGUAGUCCUGGCUGUAAACGAUGCUCACUAGGUGUUACCGGCAUUAACCCCGGUAGUGCUGUUCUGCUAACGCGUUAAGUGAGCCGCCUGGGGAGUACGGCCGCAAGGCUGAAACUCAAAGGAAUUGACGGGGGCCCGCACAAGCGGUGGAGCAUGUGGGUCAAUUGGAUGCUACGCCAAGAACCUUACCAGGGCUUGACAUGUUGGGGCCCGCCUGAGAGAUCAGGCUUUCUCCGCAAGGAGACCC